UACGUAGGGAGCAAGCGUUGUCCGGAUUUACUGGGUGUAAAGGGUGCGUAGGCGGCCCUGCAAGUCAGAAGUGAAAUCCAUGGGCUUAACCCGUGAACUGCUUUUGAAACUGUAGGGCUUGAGUGAAGUAGAGGCAGGCGGAAUUCCCGGUGUAGCGGUGAAAUGCGUAGAGAUCGGGAGGAACACCAGUGGCGAAGGCGGCCUGCUGGGCUUUAACUGACGCUGAAGCACGAAAGUGUGGGUAGCAAACAGG
RNAcentral lists this ribosomal RNA (253 nucleotides) under uncultured bacterium. RNAcentral describes it as "partial 16S ribosomal RNA". It matches the Rfam family "Bacterial small subunit ribosomal RNA", at positions 524 to 776 of the family's 1533-position model. The record is from RNAcentral.